RNAcentral lists this ribosomal RNA (528 nucleotides) under uncultured bacterium. RNAcentral's name for it is "bacterial SSU rRNA". It matches the Rfam family "Bacterial small subunit ribosomal RNA", at positions 777 to 1319 of the family's 1533-position model. The record is from RNAcentral.
AAUAGAUACCCAGGUAGUCCACGCCGUAAAACGAUGGAUACUAGCUGUUGGAGGUAUCGACCCCUUCAGUAGCGAAGCCAACGCGUUAAGUAUCCCGCCUGUGGAGUACGGUCGCAAGACUAAAACAUAAAGGAAUUGACGGGGACCCGCACAAGCGGUGGAUCAUGUUCUUUAAUUCGAUGCUAAACGAAGAACCUUACCAGGGCUUGACAUCCCGAGAAUUUCUCCGAAAGGAGAGAGUGCUUUUAGAACUCGGUGACAGAUGUUGCAUGGCCGUCGUCAGCUCGUGUCGUGAGAUGUUUGGUUAAGUCCAUCAACGAGCGCAACCCUUGUGAAUAGUUGUAUUUUUCUAUUCAGACUGCCCCGGCAACGGGGAGGAAGGAGGGGAUGAUGUCAGGUCAGUAUUACUCUUACGUCCUGGGCUAGAAACGUGAUACAAUGGCAGGUACAAUGCGCAGCGAAGCCGCGAGGUGAAGCAAAUCGCACCGAAAGCCUGUCCCAGUUCGGAUUGGAGGCUGAACUGCCUCA